GAUGAACGCUGGCGGCGUGCCUAACACAUGCAAGUCGAGCGAACCUUUCGGGGUGAGCGGCGGACGGGUGAGUAACGCGUGGGUAACCUGCCCUGUACACACGGAUAACAUACCGAAAGGUAUGCUAAUACGGGAUAACAUAUGAGAGUCGCAUGGCUUUCAUAUCAAAGCUCCGGCGGUACAGGAUGGACCCGCGUCUGAUUAGCUAGUUGGUAAGGUAACGGCAUACCAAGGCAACGAUCAGUAGCCGACCUGAGAGGGUGAUCGGCCACAUUGGAACUGAGACACGGUCCAAACUCCUACGGGAGGCAGCAGUGGGGAAUAUUGCACAAUGGGCGAAAGCCUGAUGCAGCAACGCCGCGUGAGCGAUGAAGGCCUUCGGGUCGUAAAGCUCUGUCCUCAAGGAAGAUAAUGACGGUACUUGAGGAGGAAGCCCCGGCUAACUACGUGCCAGCCGCCGCGGUAA
Molecule: ribosomal RNA, 466 nt
Filed under: uncultured bacterium
Lineage: Bacteria
Description: partial 16S ribosomal RNA
Rfam family: Bacterial small subunit ribosomal RNA
Source: RNAcentral